RNAcentral lists this unclassified non-coding RNA (2573 nucleotides) under Leishmania donovani. RNAcentral describes it as "gene:LdHU3.12.0480(CDS-product:Glutathione_S-tran sferase_N-inal_domain_containing_protein_putative)". Lineage: Eukaryota; Euglenozoa; Kinetoplastea; Trypanosomatida; Trypanosomatidae. The record is from RNAcentral.
CAUGCACAUAGCACGCAUUCGCAUCGUCUCUGCAUGUGUUGUUUCUCCGCGCUUAGCAUCCUCUACAGCAAACCCUCCCCGCCGCUCGGCAGGCCACCGCUACUGCUGCGCUGAUGGUUGUCUCACUCAUCGGCCCGCUGGACUCACCGUACGUGCAGCGCACGCUGCUCGUCGCCGCGUACGCCGGUAUUCAGCUGAAGCUGGUGCCGAUCCAGAUUGGGAGGGAGAACGAGACGGAGGAGUACCGCCUCAACUGCCAUCCCAUGCAGCGCGUGCCGGUCAUGAAGACGGAUGAGGGGUACCUGUUCGAGUCCAACGCGAUGAUCCGCUACUUGGCACGUACGGAGGUCAUGCUCGUGCCCGUGAGCGCCGGCAUCGACAGCGCCGGGGCGAACAACGAGAAGAUCCCGCACCCGCAGUACCCGAUCCCGUAUGCCAUGUAUGGUCACUCGCUGCUGGAGUCCACGCAGGUGGACAGCUGGCUUGAUUUUGCCAUCACGCGCAUCGACUUCUACACAAGGCAGUUCUUCGCGUACGAGCACAAGACGAGGCCGAAGCCGGCCGCAGACAUGAAGACGCUGCUAUGCAAGAGCCUGGACGGACUCGAGCGGCGUUUAGCCUACCUAAAGGAGGCUUGCCGCGCUCUCGUGCAGCAGUCCGGCUCGCUGACGUCGCGCUCCGUUAUGACGGACGAGGAGCUGGUCUGGAACGAGGAGGACUACAUGGCCUCUCGCGCGACGCGUGAUUCGCGCCUCAGCUCCGUGUACAACGUGGCCGGGUCGAUUCGGCAGCGCCACAUGGAAAAGGAGCGGCAGGAGCGGGAGAAGCAGCUGAUGCUCAUCAAGAAGACCACCGACGAGGCGCUGGGCAAGGAGGAGGGCGCCGACGACCCUCACCCCUCCAGCCGUCGCCCGUCAGUGUCGCGGGACAGCAUGGCUAUCUCGGCAACGCCGCGCGCGUCGGUGCUGAUGUCGGCUCGCAGCACCAUGGGCAGCGCUGCCUCCGUCGUGCAGCGCCAUGAUCUGCUCUUCCUUGUCGGGGGCUCGCUGACGGCUGCGGAUCUCGUGAUGGCCAUGUCGCUCCACGGUGUCCUGUGCUGCCAAGAGCUGAAGCCGGUGCUUACUUCCAAGUAUCCAAACUCGUUCAAAUACUACAAGAGUGUGCUGAUGCUGCCUGUUGCGGCGGAAGUGAGGAAGGCAAUUCGCCUGAGCAUCAUCAAGGAGUAGCAAGGGAGGGAGGGGGAGAGAAAGGCGUCUGGCGGACGGGUGGCAGCUGCACUGACAGAAAGUCGGCGUUAACGGCAGGAGGAGGCAGCCUCACGGAGCUACAUGCACAUGUCCCUUUCGUGUCGUGACGGUGGCACCGGCGACUCGGAAGCGCCCUGAUGUGAGAAGGCGCCGGUGUGGUGGGCCUUCAUUCCGGUCGUUGUCGCGCCUUUCAGGCAUCCGUGCUGCCCUGGCGCCCCCACUCCACCCCACCCUCUUCCACUAGUACGUCUUCGAGUCAUCGACUGCCUCCGACUUUCAGUCUCUCUCGCUUGGGCUCCCCUAUUUCUAUAGAUCUAUAUUUCUCUAUGUCGCUCUACUCGAAAAGGGCGGCGCCGAGGCGGUGCAUGUCGACUGUGCAGCGGAGCCCUCUCUCUCUCUCUGACGACGCCUCCCCUCCUCCUCCUCGCCCCACCAACCCCGCGGACCUCUCCUCUCCCCUCCCCUCCCCCGACUUCGCCAACGCGCGUGAUCGUUGUGGGGGGGAGGAGAGGGAGGGCUGGUCUCGUUUCUUUUACAUCAUAGUUGCUCUUCGGCCUUGCUUGCCUGCUCUUCGUCCGCAUCGGUGUGUGCGCGGGUGUGCGCAUUCAACUUCAACCGCUCCCACUCGCUCUCGCCACCCCUUCCUCUCGCUGACCCAUCUCGUGCCACUACCAACGGCAGCCUGUGCGCGUCGUUCCUCUGCACCAUAGUCAGAGGCGAGAGAGCGACAGGCGCAGGGCACGCCUCCCCUCACAGUUGUGUGUGUGUGUAUGUGGUGUCUCUUUCUCAACUCUUUCGCUUCCUUUCAUUGUUCACGUCGACGCCCCCUCCCUCCCUCUCCCCCUCCCGCACGCGUGCGCGUCCCUCUUCUCUGCAUGCUCUUUUUUUUUUGCGGUGCCUGUUCUGCCUUCUCACCUCUGCUCGGCGGUGUGGCUGCUGGUCCGCCUGUGUAAUCGGAGAGAGGCGGCGGUGUGCGACGGCGUGUGCUUUUUGUGUCUUCCUGCGCACUCUCCACUCGUCGCUCUCGCUCGCUUCUCCCUGAGUGCGUCGUUGGCUUACAUUCUCGUAGUUCCUCACACACCUUCCGUCCACCACCGCCACCGCCCACGCAGCUCCGAGCGUUACGGGGAGGAGGGCAUUGGACGGCAACUACUUCAACGAAAAUGUGUAUCAUUGGGUGUCUUGUUUCAUGAAAGGGGGAGGAGGGGGGGUGGGCCUCCGUCGCUUGUGUGUGUGUGUGUGUGUGUGUGCGUGUCUGGACUUGUCGGGUGCGUCGGUGGAUCUUGUCCAUCUCUUCGCUCCUCUCCGAAAAAUCGGCAACCGCAU